This 421-nucleotide ribosomal RNA is filed under the name uncultured bacterium. Its description in RNAcentral is "partial 16S ribosomal RNA". It matches the Rfam family "Bacterial small subunit ribosomal RNA", at positions 360 to 773 of the family's 1533-position model. The record is from RNAcentral.
AAUAUUUGACAAUGGGCGAAAGCCUGAUCCAGCCAUGCCGCGUGUGUGAAGAAGGUCUUCGGAUUGUAAAGCACUUUAAGUUGGGCGGAAGGGCAGUAUGUUUAUACUUUGUUUUUUUGCCGUUUCCUCCCGAAUAAGCCCCGGUCAACUUCGUCCCGCAAGCCGCGGUAAUACGAAGGGUGCAGGCGUUACUCGGAAUUACUGGGCGUAAAGCACGCGUAGGUGGUUUGUUAAGUAGGAAGUGAAAGACCCGGGCUCAACCUGGGAACUGCUUUCAAAACUGGCAAGCUAGAGUAUGGCAGAGGGUGGUGGAAUUUCCUGUGUAGCGGUGAAAUGCGUAGAUAUAGGAAGGAACAACAGUGGCGAAGGCGACCACCUGGGCUAAUACUGACACUGAGGUGCGAAAGCGUGGGGAGCAAAC